RNAcentral lists this transfer RNA (64 nucleotides) under Oryzias latipes (Japanese medaka). It matches the Rfam family "tRNA", at positions 5 to 66 of the family's 71-position model. Rfam says of the family: Transfer RNA (tRNA) molecules are approximately 80 nucleotides in length. The record is from Rfam by way of RNAcentral. Lineage: Eukaryota; Metazoa; Chordata; Actinopteri; Beloniformes; Adrianichthyidae.
CGGUGGCGCAGUGGUUAGCGCACUUGCCUCAAAGCAAGAAGGUCCCCGGUUCAAGUCCCGGCUG